UAGGUAUUUUGUUUAUUUUUUUUUUGUAUCGAAUUCAAAAACAGGGAAAUGACACUGCAAUUUGAUUCCACUAUGUUACGUUAUUCAUUAUUUAUUGUACGUGAAUAAAAUAAAGUCGAGAACUGUGAGAUUUUCAGAAGAAUUUGUUUUUGUAUUUUGUAACAUUAGUAAAUAAUAACGUGUAUUGUGAUUGAAAUUAUAUUGUUUAUUGUAUUGUAUUCUAAAAAAUUAUUAAUUUUUUAAUUACAUAUAUAAGAAUUGUUUGUUACGUGUAUUAACAAAAAAUGCAACAAAAAAUUGUAAUAUUCAGGAUAAUCACAAGCAAAGAAAAUGUAACAACCUAACAUCAUUUUUAAGGCCGGAUAUCUUCAAACCAAUUUUGCCGAAAGUUUUCUUAAAACAAAAUUUUAACGCAUUUCAACUUCAACAGCUAUAAAUUCCACCUGAGAAAAAAAUAAAAAUCAGUUGUCGCAGCUUAUAAAAUUCCAUUUUUGUAUUUAAAUAGCAACGUUAAUAAAUUAAA
This is a long non-coding RNA of Condylostylus longicornis, 523 nucleotides long. RefSeq lists it as uncharacterized. The record is from RefSeq and is a predicted model, not a curated record. The transcript is spliced from 2 exons. Lineage: Eukaryota; Metazoa; Arthropoda; Insecta; Diptera; Dolichopodidae.